This 29-nucleotide non-coding RNA is filed under the name Mus musculus (house mouse). Lineage: Eukaryota; Metazoa; Chordata; Mammalia; Rodentia; Muridae. The record is from RNAcentral.
UAUGUGCCUGAAUAUUUCUCUGCAACAUA